This 157-nucleotide ribosomal RNA is filed under the name Clusia minor. RNAcentral describes it as "5.8S ribosomal RNA". It matches the Rfam family "5.8S ribosomal RNA". Rfam says of the family: 5.8S ribosomal RNA (5.8S rRNA) is a component of the large subunit of the eukaryotic ribosome. It is transcribed by RNA polymerase I as part of the 45S precursor that also contains 18S and 28S rRNA. Functionally, it is thought that 5.8S rRNA may be involved in ribosome translocation. The record is from RNAcentral. Lineage: Eukaryota; Viridiplantae; Streptophyta; Magnoliopsida; Malpighiales; Clusiaceae.
CAAAACGACUCUCGGCAACGGAUAUCUCGGCUCUCGCAUCGAUGAAGAACGUAGCGAAAUGCGAUACUUGGUGUGAAUUGCAGAAUCCCGUGAACCAUCGAGUCUUUGAACGCAAGUUGCGCCCAAAGCCUUCUGGUUGAGGGCACGUCUGCUUGGG